AACUGAACUGUUAUCCGUGCUGGACCAUGUACAAGUCUGUUGAAAAGCAGCAUCAUUGAAGGUGAAAAUCCUGUAGAUGAUAUGGACUACCAGUACUUUUGUGAUACGGUUUCUAAGAGUCGAGUUGUUUGGGAAUGCAGCUCAAAGUGGGUGGUAAAUUCCAUCUAAGGCUAAAUAUAAGUGAGAGACCGAUAGCAAACAAGUACCGUGAGGGAAAGAUGAAAAGAACUUUGAAAAUAGAGUUAACAGUACGUGAAAUUGCUGAAAGGGAAACGUUUGAAGUUAGUUUUGUAUUCGUUGGAUCAGCUUCGCAAGGAGUGUAUUCUGAUGAUAGCAAGUCAACAGUCU
RNAcentral lists this ribosomal RNA (348 nucleotides) under Melampsora pakistanica. RNAcentral describes it as "eukaryotic LSU rRNA". It matches the Rfam family "Eukaryotic large subunit ribosomal RNA", at positions 151 to 494 of the family's 3401-position model. Lineage: Eukaryota; Fungi; Basidiomycota; Pucciniomycetes; Pucciniales; Melampsoraceae. The record is from RNAcentral.